Molecule: ribosomal RNA, 1455 nt
Filed under: uncultured Bordetella sp.
Lineage: Bacteria; Pseudomonadati; Pseudomonadota; Betaproteobacteria; Burkholderiales; Alcaligenaceae
Description: partial 16S-23S ribosomal RNA intergenic spacer
Rfam family: Bacterial small subunit ribosomal RNA
Source: RNAcentral
AGUUCGUUAUGGCUCAGAUUGAACGCUGGCGGGAUGCUUUACACAUGCAAGUCGAACGGCAGCACGGACUUCGGUCUGGUGGCGAGUGGCGAACAGGUGAGUAAUGUAUCGGAACGUGCCUAGUAGCGGGGAUAACUACGGCGUAGCUAAUACGCACGCCCUUCGAGGAAGCGGGGGACACGGGCCUCGCACUAUUAGAGCGGCCGAUAUCGGAUUAGCUAGUUGGUGGGGCAACUUGGCUCACAAGGCGACGAUCCGUAGCUGGUUUUGAGGAGGACGACCAGCCACACUGGGACUGAGACACGGCCCAGACUUCUGCGGGAGAGCGGCAGUGGGAAUUUUGGACAAUGGGAAACCUGAUCCAGCCAUCCCGCGUGUGCGAUGAAGACCGGUUGUAAAGCACUUUUGGCGGAAGAAACGGCGGGGAUAUGCCCCGUACGACUGACGGAUACCUGCAGAAUAAGCACCGGCUAACUACGUGCCAGCAGCCGCGGUGGCGUAGGGUGCAAGCGUUAAUCGGAAUUACUGGGCAAAGCGUGCGCAGGCGGUUCGGAAAAGAAGAUCAUGAAAUCCCAGGCUUAACUUUGGAACUGCAUUUUUAACUACCGAGCUAGAGUGUGUCAGAGGAGGUGGAAUUCCGCGAUGCCCGGUAAAUGCGUAGAUAUGCGGGAAGGCACCGAUGGCGAAGGCAGCCUCCUGGAAUGGCACUGACGCUCAUGCACGAAAGCGUGGGGAGCAAACAGGAUUAGAUACCCUGGUAGUCCACAUAUAAACGAUAUAAACUAGCUGUUGGGGCCUUGGGCAUACAUUGUACAACUAACGCGUCGAAGUUGACCGCCUGGGGAGUACGGUCGCAAGAUUAAAACUCAAAGGAAUUGACGGGGACCCGCACAAGCGGUGGAUGAUGUGGAUUAAUUCGAUGCAACGCGAAAAACCUUACCUACCCUUGACAUGUCUGGAAUCCCGAAGAGAUUUGGGAGUGCUCGCAAGAGAACCGGAACACAGGUGCUGCAUGGCUGUCGUCAGCUCGUGUCGUGAGAUGUUGGGUUAAGUCCGCAACGAGCGCAACCCUUGUCAUUAGUUGCUACGAAAGGGCACUCUAAUGAGACUGCCGGUGACAAACCGGAGGAAGGUGGGAUGACGUCAAGUCCUCAUGUGGCCAUAUGGGUAGGGCUUCACACGUCAUACAAUGGUCGGGACAGAGGGUCGCCAACCCGCGAGGGGGGGGCCAAUCCCAGAAACCCGAUCAUUGAUCCGGAUCACGGUCUGCAACUCGACGUGAAGUCGAAUCGCUAGUAAUCGCGGAUCAGCAUGUCGCGAGUGAAUACGUUCCCGGGUCUUGUACACACCGCCCGUCACACCAUGGGAGUGGGUUUUACCAGAAGUAGUUAGCCUAACCGUAAGGAGGGCGAUUACCACGGUAAGUUCAUGACUGGGGUGAAGUCGUAACAAGCG